This 468-nucleotide ribosomal RNA is filed under the name uncultured bacterium. RNAcentral describes it as "partial 16S ribosomal RNA". It matches the Rfam family "Bacterial small subunit ribosomal RNA", at positions 28 to 507 of the family's 1533-position model. The record is from RNAcentral.
GACGAACGCUGGCGGCGUGCUUAACACAUGCAAGUCGAACGGAAAGGCCCUGCUUUUGUGGGGUGCUCGAGUGGCGAACGGGUGAGUAACACGUGAGUAACCUGCCCUUGACUUUGGGAUAACUUCAGGAAACUGGGGCUAAUACCGGAUAGGAGCUCCUGCUGCAUGGUGGGGGUUGGAAAGUUUCGGCGGUUGGGGAUGGACUCGCGGCUUAUCAGCUUGUUGGUGGGGUAGUGGCUUACCAAGGCUUUGACCGGUAGCCGGCCUGAGAGGGUGACCGGCCACAUUGGGACUGAGAUACGGCCCAGCCUCCUACGGGAGGCAGCAGUGGGGAAUAUUGCACAAUGGGCGGAAGCCUGAUGCAGCCACGCCGCGUGCGGGAUGACGGCCUUCGGGUUGUAAACCGCUUUCGCCUGUGACGAAGCGUGAGUGACGGUAAUGGGUAAAGAAGCACCGGCUAACUACGUG